GUAUUCACUUCGAAGAUACAUAUACUAAAAUAUGAACGAUACAGAAAAGAUCAGCAUAGCCACUGGGCAAGGAUGAAACGCAAAAUCGUGAAACGCUGUACAUUUUU
RNAcentral lists this small nuclear RNA (107 nucleotides) under Schistocephalus solidus. The record is from RNAcentral. Lineage: Eukaryota; Metazoa; Platyhelminthes; Cestoda; Diphyllobothriidea; Diphyllobothriidae.